This 169-nucleotide unclassified non-coding RNA is filed under the name uncultured Clavariaceae. RNAcentral describes it as "sequence contains ITS1". The record is from RNAcentral. Lineage: Eukaryota; Fungi; Basidiomycota; Agaricomycetes; Agaricales; Clavariaceae.
UUGAAAUCCUUAGGAUGUUGCUGGCCUUUCGGGGCAUGUGCACUCCGCCUUUUCAUCUCACCUGUGAACUUAUUGUAGGCCAGAUGUUACAGUCUGUGUCUAUGUUAUUUUUACACACACAAGUUUAUUAGAAUGUCUAAUGAAGACCUUUACUGGUCAAAAUUUAAUA